This 1059-nucleotide long non-coding RNA is filed under the name Cyanistes caeruleus (blue tit). Its description in RNAcentral is "lncRNA (ENSCCEG00000012202.1)". The record is from RNAcentral. Lineage: Eukaryota; Metazoa; Chordata; Aves; Passeriformes; Paridae.
CUGGAAUGUUACUGCAUUUUCAGUCUGCAGUCCAGCACACCAAAACACUUUGCUUUCCUUAAGAAUACAGGCACUGUAGAAAGGUCUAAGUUAUUCUUCACAUAACUAGAAACAAAAAGCAAGAGACCUGAGAGCUGGGCAGGGAACAGACCAAGAGAUAAUUCUAAUAUAAGAAAGGUGAGGCGUUAAAGGAGACUUACAGGAGGAAAGAGGUCUCUGACAUAAACUUCACUUACCUGGAUGGAAGUAGCAACAAAAAAAAAGACAGGUUUUCUUUAAAACAGACUACAGGUUCAGCAGAAUGUGAUAGGUUUGGAUACCAUGAAUAAGACACUAAUUCCUACUUAGGGUUCACAUAUUCCUUAUGUGAUAGGGAGCAAACACUUCAGGCUGCAGAUACAUGAAAGAUAUCAACUUUAUAACAUGUAGCAAGACUUUCUUCUGCAGGUCUCCAUGUACUUUGCAGAGGAGGGAUAGACCAACGUUUUUCAUCCCUGGGCACCAUGUCAUGGUAGCAUAUCAGUAAUUUGCAAAAAGUGCAAUGGCAGGAGCUGCACGGUGCAUGGUGGAGCCCAGAGUAGGAUUCCAUCCUCCUCCUGCCUGCACAGAUCUACCUUUCUACAGGCUGUAUCUGUGUGUCCCAGUAAUUCGGUGCACCAGCAGUGAAGCAAACAGUAGAUGAAAGAACCUGCUGAUGAGGCCUUUACAUCUUUACACUGAGCCCUGCCUGUCAGGUUUCUGUGGGACUGGGUUUAGCCUGGCCUUCUGAACUGAGUGCUGCCAUCAAAUGGGCUUGGAAGCUGCUCAGAGCUUCAGUCACUGACUGACUCUUCUGUGCCAUCAAAGCCUGGGUGUGCAGUCACUGAGUGCUCCAGAGGUCACUGCCUUCAUGCCCUGCAGGUUAAAACUACUUCUGGAUUCUGGCAAGAGAGCUUUUCCACAUUUUUACAUGCUGUUCCCAAGCCACUUAUUAGUGGGCCAUUGAUUUAUAGCCAGAAGGUAGCCUCCUCCCAAGUGAAAACCGUGAGAUAUUUGUUUGAAAACAUCAUGCUAAUUUAG